Cucumis sativus (cucumber) is the source of this 824-nucleotide long non-coding RNA. RefSeq lists it as uncharacterized. NCBI's taxonomy places the organism in Eukaryota, Viridiplantae, Streptophyta, Magnoliopsida, Cucurbitales, Cucurbitaceae. The transcript has 2 exons. The record is from RefSeq and is a predicted model, not a curated record.
AUAGGAUAAAAUCAACCGUCGAAGUUGACCAUUGGAAGUGGUCCAAGUCGGAGAGAAUCGCUAGAGGUGAUCGUCGUCACCGGAGUGAGGUUCCACUUCUCGCUUACCUGUUGUCAAUCGUCAAAGUUAGGCGUUAGAAGUUGUCGUCGGAGCAUGUUGCCGGUCAUAAUAGUCGUCGGAGCAUGAGCCUCUCAAGGUAUGCUAACCGCAGCCAUGAGGAAUGGACAAAUUGAUGGCUGAUACAUACAAUCGAUUCGGUAUAUUAUUUAUUUUUCCUUUAAUUUUGGGCUAGUUCGUUUUUAUAUCUGCUUGAGAAUCAAUCGGAUGGUUAUUGUAUUUUGUGAUAGGAAGUACAAAUGUGGUGAAAUUUAGUUCAAAUCUCGGUAUUUUUCAAAAAUUAUCCGGGGCCUUGAGUCUUUGUAUGGAUGAUCACUAUCUUUAAAUUCUAUGAAAUGGUCAAUGCCAAAUUUGUAAUUGACUGGGAGGCUACCAUUUUUGCUUUUGUUGCUUAUCGACCAAUAGAAAAACAAAAUUGUGCAUCCAGAUCAUAUUGACGAACGUGUACUCAAUUAGCAACCUUGUGAAGACAUAAAAGUAAAGCAGAUAGAAGAUUCUCUAUAAUUAAAAUCUAGUGAUGUGGGGUGUAUGAUGUAGAUGUAUUUUCCUGGUUGAUGUGCUUCUCAAUCUAAAGGGAUCUUUUCUUUGCAAAAUAACAUUGUUUUGGCUUACAAAUGGGAGGGAUUUUAUUGUCAAUCCCCAAUGUGUAUAUGUAUGUAUGUGUGUGUGUAUAUUUAUAUAUUAUCGUUGUAUAGUUUUUGAACCUA